GACGAACGCUGGCGGCGUGCUUAACACAUGCAAGUCGAACGGAAAGGCCCUGCUUUUGUGGGGUGCUCGAGUGGCGAACGGGUGAGUAACACGUGAGUAACCUGCCCUUGACUGUGGGAUAACUUCAGGAAACUGGGGCUAAUACCGGAUAGGAGCUCCUGCUGCAUGGGGGGGGUUGGAAAGUUUCGGCGGUUGGGGAUGGACUCGCGGCUUAUCAGCUUGUUGGUGGGGUAGUGGCUUACCAAGGCUUUGACGGGUAGCCGGCCUGGGAGGGUGACCGGCCACAUUGGGACUGAGAUACGGCCCAGACUCCUACGGGAGGCAGCAGUGGGGAAUAUUGCACAAUGGGCGGAAGCCUGAUGCGGCAACGCCGCGUGCGGGAUGACGGCCUUCGGGUUGUAAACCGCUUUCGCCUGUGACGAAGCGUGAGUGACGGUAAUGGGUAAAGAAGCACCGGCUAACUACGUG
This 468-nucleotide ribosomal RNA is filed under the name uncultured bacterium. Its description in RNAcentral is "partial 16S ribosomal RNA". It matches the Rfam family "Bacterial small subunit ribosomal RNA", at positions 28 to 507 of the family's 1533-position model. The record is from RNAcentral.